GACGAACGCUGGCGGCGUGCUUAACACAUGCAAGUCGAACGCCGAAGCUUGGUGCUUGCACUGGGUGGAUGAGUGGCGAACGGGUGAGUAAUAAGUGAGUAACCUGCCCUUGACUCUGGGAUAAGCCUGGGAAACUGGGUCUAAUACUGGAUACGACAUGUCACCGCAUGGUGGUGUGUGGAAAGGGUUUUACUGGUUUUGGAUGGGCUCACGGCCUAUCAGCUUGUUGGUGGGGUAAUGGCUCACCAAGGCGACGACGGGUAGCCGGCCUGAGAGGGUGACCGGCCACACUGGGACUGAGACACGGCCCAGACUCCUACGGGAGGCAGCAGUGGGGAAUAUUGCACAAUGGGCGGAAGCCUGAUGCAGCGACGCCGCGUGAGGGAUGACGGCCUUCGGGUUGUAAACCUCUUUCAGCACGGAAGAAGCGAAAGUGACGGUACGUGCAGAAGAAGCGCCGGCUAACUACGUG
This 472-nucleotide ribosomal RNA is filed under the name uncultured bacterium. RNAcentral's name for it is "partial 16S ribosomal RNA". It matches the Rfam family "Bacterial small subunit ribosomal RNA", at positions 28 to 507 of the family's 1533-position model. The record is from RNAcentral.